RNAcentral lists this ribosomal RNA (450 nucleotides) under uncultured bacterium. RNAcentral describes it as "partial 16S ribosomal RNA". It matches the Rfam family "Bacterial small subunit ribosomal RNA", at positions 29 to 523 of the family's 1533-position model. The record is from RNAcentral.
AACGAACGCUGGCGGCAGGCCUAACACAUGCAAGUCGAACGGUUGUAGCAAUACAGCAGUGGCGCACGGGUGAGUAACACGUGGGAACGUGCCUUUCAGUCUGGAAUAACAGCGGGAAACUGCUGCUAAUACCGGAUAUUCUCUACGGAGGAAAGAUUUAUCGCUGAAAGAUCGGCCCGCGUUAGAUUAGGUAGUUGGUAGGGUAUGGCCUACCAAGCCUACGAUCUAUAGCUGGUCUGAGAGGAUAAUCAGCCACACUGGAACUGAGACACGGUCCAGACUCCUACGGGAGGCAGCAGUGGGGAAUAUUGGACAAUGGGGGAAACCUUGAUCCAGCCAUGCCGCGUGAGUGACGAAGGCCUUAGGGUUGUAAAGCUCUUUUAUCAGGGACGAUGAUGACGGUACCUGAAGAAUAAGACACGGCUAACUUCGUGCCAGCCGCCGCCGUAA